Molecule: ribosomal RNA, 774 nt
Filed under: uncultured Neocallimastigales
Lineage: Eukaryota; Fungi; Neocallimastigomycota; Neocallimastigomycetes; Neocallimastigales
Description: partial large subunit ribosomal RNA
Rfam family: Eukaryotic large subunit ribosomal RNA
Source: RNAcentral
AUAUCAGUCAUGCAUAGCAUAUCAAUAAGCGGAGGAAAAGAAACUAACAAGGAUUCCCUUAGUAACGGCGAGUGAAGCGGGAAGAGCUCAAAUUUGAAAUCUUCAAGGUUUUACCUUGACGAAUUGUAGUUUAAAGAAGUGUUUUCUGUUGAAGUUUUGGUAAAAGUUCUUUGGAAUAGGACAUCAUAGAGGGUGAGAAUCCCGUAUUUGACCAUUACUUUCAGCUUUGUGAUACACUUUCAAAGAGUCGGAUUGUUUGGGAAUGCAGUCCAAAAUGGGUGGUAAAUUUCAUCUAAAGCUAAAUAUUGGCGAGAGACCGAUAGCGAACAAGUACCGUGAGGGAAAGAUGAAAAGAACUUUGAAAAGAGAGUUAAACAGUACGUGAAAUUGUCAAAAGGGAAGCGUUUGACACCAGUGUUGUUUUCUCGAAAAUCAAUUAAAAAGAGUUGGAUUUUGUGUUGUAUUGACUUUAUCAGCUUUCUUCACUCUUUUCCAGCUUUUUUUAAUGCACUUUUCGUUUAACAAGUCAACAUCAGUUUCUUUUGUUGUAAAAAGGUCAUUGGAGGGUGGCUUUCUCUUCGGAGAAAGUGUUUAUAGCCUUUGACUCAUGCAAUCGGAGAGACUGAGGUCUGCAGCGUAGAUCCUUCGGGGUUAGAUACAUUUGUGCUAAGUUAUAGCUUUUCAUAGACAACUUGUUGACUAUGUUUAGUCUUGUAGCUUACUCGCUUAUGCUAUUUUACCUACGCUUAGGAUGUUGAACUCUAUCACACACAG